RNAcentral lists this unclassified non-coding RNA (286 nucleotides) under Hevea brasiliensis (rubber tree). The record is from RNAcentral. Lineage: Eukaryota; Viridiplantae; Streptophyta; Magnoliopsida; Malpighiales; Euphorbiaceae.
GAAAAUUGAAUAUUGGCAAAACAGAAGUUAGAAUAGAAAGGCAAUCAAAUGUCAGAAAAUAAAGAAAAUCAUCAAAUCACGAAUUGACGAUUAGCAAAUCCAUACAGAAUCGUGGAUGCAUAGUGUACUUUCUUAUGGGCGUUUAGCAAUAUCACAUACCAUGAGAGAGUUGAGAGAACCAUGCACUAAAGUUUAAAACUAAAUUGAUAAAACUAUCUGAUAGAAUGGCAUUACACGCGAGAAACGAUUUCCUAUGUAGUACCUGCCAAUCCUUGAAAUCAAUUCU